GGGUGGUAAUGCCGGAUGCUCCAGUUGAUCGCAUGGUCUUCUGGGAAAGCCUUUGCGGCAUGGGAUGGGGUCGCGUCCUAUCAGCUUGAUGGCGGGGUAACGGCCCACCAUGGCUUCGACGGGUAGCCGGCCUGAGAGGGCGACCGGCCACAUUGGGACUGAGAUACGGCCCAGACUCCUACGGGAGGCAGCAGUGGGGAAUAUUGCACAAUGGGCGCAAGCCUGAUGCAGCGACGCCGCGUGAGGGAUGGAGGCCUUCGGGUUGUAAACCUCUUUUGUUAGGGAGCAAGGCAUUUUGUGUUGAGUGUACCUUUCGAAUAAGCACCGGCUAACUACGUGCCAGCAGCCGCGGUAAUACGUAGGGUGCAAGCGUUAUCCGGAAUUAUUGGGCGUAAAGGGCUCGUAGGCGGUUCGUCGCGUCCGGUGUGAAAGUCCAUCGCUUAACGGUGGAUCCGCGCCGGGUACGGGCGGGCUUGAGUGCGGUAGGGGAGACUGGAAUUCCCGGUGUAACGGUGGAAUGUGUAGA
Molecule: ribosomal RNA, 526 nt
Filed under: Bifidobacterium breve
Lineage: Bacteria; Bacillati; Actinomycetota; Actinomycetes; Bifidobacteriales; Bifidobacteriaceae
Description: bacterial SSU rRNA
Rfam family: Bacterial small subunit ribosomal RNA
Source: RNAcentral